CAUCAGUAACCUUUCUCUCUAAACCAACAGCCCUAACCAAAGAACCUCUUCAACCAUCGCCGCCACCCCACCCCCCAUCACGUCACUUCCGUCACCUCACCACCACCACGCCCAUCAGACCACGGAACCAAACACCCCACUCUCUCUUUAAUCCAAAACCCUUAAGUUCGUUGAUUUGAUGCCAUAGCCGCCUCCACUGCUACCACGUCUCCUGUCCUUUUGAUUGACGUGGUGGCAGAGCCGAAAGGAGCCAAUAUAGGUCGUUUCAACCUCUGUAGAAGAGGAGUGCAAUGAACCACCAGUUUCAAGCUCGAACUCUCCUUCGAUUCAGUGGGUAAUGGAGGAAUCUACCAUGUAUUAGACUCCAACGGCUCUUCUCCUCUCAAAUCGAACUGAAAAGCUAAGCAAGGAUUGCUUUAAGCGGAUUCGGAGACUAGACGACGAUAAUAGCCUCAGUUCAAUGUCACGGAGAAGGUACAGAUAGUCGGUUUGGUGACCCUUCAGCAUAGGACUUCUACUCAGCUGUCUUGGAAAGCUCCGUUGUUCCGGAGCCUAGACUUUUGGUACAGAUCUUAUGAUGUAUAUGUAUAUGUUUAUCCAGGGGUACGGCGGUGCCCUGUCCCGUCAUAUUUUGCUAUCCAUACUCUUAGAGGUCUGUAGACAUGUGUGGGUUGUGUAUAAAUUCUGUUUAGCUGUGCCUAUACGAUGUGCAAUGAUAUGAUGUUCGUCUGUAGUGGCAGCCUUGUUGGCUUGCGUAUCGUUUUAUGAUUUGAUUAGUUGUGACUCCUCAGGAGAUAGUUUAUCUGGAUAUUUAUAUACGUGACGACGUUAUGAACCUUGGAGUUCUUUUGCAAAUUUUCAUAUUGUUCUUAGAUUCAGUUUGACUAUAUCCAACAGGUACGUAUACGAGUGUCCAGGUCGGGCACUAGUCAUGGCCCAUGGGAUUGGGUCGUGACAUUAAUCAUUUUUAUUUUUAUUUUUAAAAGGAACAGAAUGAGAUGCUAAAGGUUGUGAAAUGACAUUAGUUAGAGUUUUGGUAUUAAGAUUGUGAUCAAUGGUUUUUAUUUUAAAUCGUUCUCCCCAUUUCAUAACAAAAUUUCCAGCCAUGCUUAAGUGAAAAAUGAAAAUUUCUUACUAUUGGUAUAACAUUGUUGGAAAACCAUUAUGUGAUUAAGUGUUCAUAUAGUCUUUCAACUCGCAUAACUAGUGACCUGUGUGAAGAUCGGGACUUUACUAGAAAUUAGUAUUUGUAGUCGAGGGUAAUAAGAAGGGGCUAGGUGCAUGACUAAAACUAUUAAGUAGGAUGAUUAAGCACUUAGAUUGAAGCUACUGUUUUCCUCCUCAUUCUAAAAGUUUGAAUCUUUUUGUCCAUUCUUUGACUGAUAUGAAAAUUUAGUUUGAACAAGCAAGUCUUUUCUCUUUUAAUCAACUGCUUCAAUUUCUUUUUUUUUUCUCUGAACCAUUUGCUUCUCCUUCUAGCCCUUUCAUGAAUGUUGAACACAUAUAUGAAUCCAGCGGCUGUUCUUACCAUAGGCAGUGUGUCCUUGAAAUGAUGGUAUAAUGUGUCUAAUUUAUUAAAGUUUAGGGGUUGUUUUGUCAUUUUCUUUUAGGGUUCUUAAAAAAAAAGUGUGCUAUUUGAGUUGUCUUUUGUUGAGAAUUUGAAAUUUGAUUACUGGAAGUUGUAUAUCCGGGCCCCUUUAUUAUUGCGACAGCUUUUGUGGCAUCCUAGUUAUGCUUUGUGGUUAAAAGGUUCUGUUUGUAGGUAAAAUUAGAUAAAAAAUAAAAGUAGUGACCUGUGGUAUUUUGUGAACAUUAGAAGUCGAGAAAUGAUGGUUGUUGUAGUGUCUCCUGAGUAUGU
Long non-coding RNA from Lycium barbarum (goji berry), 1858 nucleotides. RefSeq lists it as uncharacterized. The record is from RefSeq and is a predicted model, not a curated record. NCBI's taxonomy places the organism in Eukaryota, Viridiplantae, Streptophyta, Magnoliopsida, Solanales, Solanaceae. The transcript has 3 exons.